CCCUAGCCCAGAUUGCAACGGCAUCCUUUUGAGUUGCGGCCGGAGCAAAGCGGAGGCCGUAACUCAAAAGAUACAGUGGAAAGCUGGAAAUAGC
Molecule: small RNA, 94 nt
Filed under: Chryseobacterium wanjuense
Lineage: Bacteria; Pseudomonadati; Bacteroidota; Flavobacteriia; Flavobacteriales; Weeksellaceae
Description: Flavo-1 RNA
Rfam family: Flavo-1 RNA
Source: RNAcentral